UACGGAGGGUGCAAGCGUUAUCCGGAUUCACUGGGUUUAAAGGGUGCGUAGGAGGGCAGGUAAGUCCGCGGUGAAAUCUUCAAGCUUAACUUGGAAACUGCCGUUGAUACUAUCUGUCUUGAAUAUCGUGGAGGUGAGCGGAAUAUGUCAUGUAGCGGUGAAAUGCUUAGAUAUGACAUAGAACACCAAUUGCGAAGGCAGCUUGCUACACGAAUAUUGACUCUGAGGCACGAAAGCGUGGGGAUCAAACAGG
Molecule: ribosomal RNA, 253 nt
Filed under: uncultured bacterium
Lineage: Bacteria
Description: partial 16S ribosomal RNA
Rfam family: Bacterial small subunit ribosomal RNA
Source: RNAcentral